This 253-nucleotide ribosomal RNA is filed under the name uncultured bacterium. RNAcentral's name for it is "partial 16S ribosomal RNA". It matches the Rfam family "Bacterial small subunit ribosomal RNA", at positions 524 to 776 of the family's 1533-position model. The record is from RNAcentral.
UACGAAGGGGACUAGCGUUGUUCGGAAUUACUGGGCGUAAAGGGCGCGUAGGCGGCCUACUAAGUCAGACGUGAAAUCCCCCGGCUUAACCUGGGAACUGCGUCUGAUACUGGAAGGCUUGAGGAUGGGAGAGGGAUGUAGAAUUCCAGGUGUAGCGGUGAAAUGCGUAGAUAUCUGGAGGAAUACCGGUGGCGAAGGCUGCAUCCUGGACCAUUACUGACGCUGAGGCGCGAAAGCUAGGGGAGCAAACGGG